This 1862-nucleotide unclassified non-coding RNA is filed under the name uncultured fungus. RNAcentral's name for it is "sequence contains 18S rRNA gene, ITS1, 5.8S rRNA gene, ITS2, 28S rRNA gene". The stretch from base 743 to 1862 matches the Rfam family "Eukaryotic large subunit ribosomal RNA", at positions 1 to 961 of the family's 3401-position model. The record is from RNAcentral. Lineage: Eukaryota; Fungi.
GGAAGGAUCAUUACUGGUUAGACCGCAACGCACUUAGAGAUAGGACCCUUUAGGGGGCCUUAUCGAUAAGGGUCAAGCCAGCUUGAAGGUAUACCUUUUAGGGAAGGACCGUCAAGGCCUUAACAAGCCUUAAGCACGAGACUGCCCAGAGAGGUACCUUUAAACCGGGUAGGUUGGACUUGUCCGGCCUAUCCAGUUCCCAUGGCUUAGUUUAGGCAAAAUUGACCCCUACUUGCUAACUCCCCUUAUCUGACCCUUUCAGGGAUGGAUAGUGGAGGACCCAAAGGACAAGUCAAAGGAGCCCAAACAAGGCUUAGGAGCGAACUUAGGUAACCUAUUCACAACCCACUACGAUGGAUGUCUAGGUUCCCACCUCGAUGAAGAGCGCAGCGAAUUGCGAUAUGUAGUGUGAUUUGCAGAUUGUGUGAUACAUCGAGUACUUGAACGCAUUGCGCCUUAGCUCGCGAGGGCUAAGGCACGUUUGGAUGAGGGUCAGUAUCUAACGCCUUCUCGAUAGACUUAGGUCUAUUGUCGGGGCAACUUGUCGGUUCGUUGGGCGCCUCCUAUCAACGAAUUGAUUAAAUUCAUGGGAAGCCGAUAGGGUCAAACCUAUCAGUGCCCUACUACCUAUCUCGGCGCCUCUACGUGACUAACUUAGAGGUAAAGACCUAGGCAAGUAGGUUCCCUUUAAAGCUUUCGAGCUUUACCCAAGGCGAUAGCAGCUUGGGACUUGACCUUACUUUGACCUCAUCUCAAGCGUGACCACGCCCUAAACUUAAGCAUAUUAAUCAGGGCAGGAAAGGAAACCAAACGGGACUCCCUUAGUAACUGCGAGUGAAGAGGGACCAGCCCAGGCUGAAUCCAAUACCCCAGGGUUGCGGAGUUGUGGCCUUUGACUUAGGUCUUCAGUUAGGCUAGGCCGGAGAAGUUCUCUGAAAAGGGACGCCAUAGAGGGUUAAAGCCCCGUAUCUUGGUCAGGCUUGGCGAAUCUCCUGAGUUUAGAGUCAGGCUGUUUGAGAGUACAGCCUAAAGUGGGAGGUACGCUCCUCCUAAGGCUAAGUACAGGGUGGGAAUCCGAUAGCAUACAAGUACCGCGAGGGAAAGAUGCAAAGCACUCUGAAGAGAGAGUCAAAGAGUACCUGAAAUCGUAUUGGGGGAAGCGUCUAAGGGAGUCACUAUGCAGGUUGCCUUUCACCGGGCCGGUUUGGGUGCUGUGAGGUCUAGAGGUGCUUACGGGUAUCCAGGGUCUUGCAGAUGUCCUAGGCAGGCACGGGCACUUAGGUAGCUUGCUCUCGGUUUGGGUUGCAACUUGGGGAAAUAGGCUUGUGGUAAGGUACCUGGCUUCCAGGGAUGUCCACGGGUUAGUACCUUCGUUUCGACCAAGGUCUCAGGGGAGUAUAGCUAGGGCCGCAAGGCAGGGUCAAUAGGGUGUCAUUGGGUUGUUCGGCUUGGUUACAGCUUGCUGUGGCUGAGUUGGAUGGCUCUCUUAGCCUUAUGACUACACCUAGCUUCAAGAAACCGGGUCACGACGACCUUAGCCGUCCCGUCUUGAAACACGGACCAAGGAGUCUAACAUAUGCGCGAGUCUAAGGGUUAUAAACCUGAUAGGCGUAAUGAAAGUAAUUUGGGUGAUGCUGAGUCCACGGACGAUGCUGCAACCCGCACCGACCUUGACCCACGAGUGAUAGGUUUGAGUGGGAGCGUAUCUGUUAGGACCCGAAAGGUAGCGAACUAUGCCCGCAUAGAGUGAAGCCAGAAGAAAUUCUGGUGGAGGUUCGUAGCGGUACUGACGUGCAAAUCGUUCGUCAAAUGUGGGUAUAGCGGCGAAAGACUAAUCGAGCUGCCUAGUAGCUGGUUCCGCC